UUUUCCUAUGAAGACAAAAAAUAAGGUUGCGGUGCAAGGUGCAGAGGUCCCCUGCAGCGUGUGGAGGUGGUUGGCCUUGGCCAGGUCAAGUUGUCGAUGCCGGUGACCUCUCUAUAUCCACUCUGUAGAGUUGGUGUUCCUCAUUUCCUUAUCUGAAAAUUCAUUUAGAAUAAGGCCACUUGCGCAUCCAGUUUUAUGAAGGAUUGUCAAGCUAAAAAUAAAGGAUGGAGGCCAUGGAUAUCUCUACUAAAAGUAUUGCAUGGCGUCAUGAUAUCCUCCUCUUCUUGUUUGGCCCCG
Long non-coding RNA from Lolium rigidum, 297 nucleotides. RefSeq lists it as uncharacterized. Lineage: Eukaryota; Viridiplantae; Streptophyta; Magnoliopsida; Poales; Poaceae. The transcript is spliced from 3 exons. The record is from RefSeq and is a predicted model, not a curated record.